Molecule: ribosomal RNA, 329 nt
Filed under: Capnocytophaga leadbetteri
Lineage: Bacteria; Pseudomonadati; Bacteroidota; Flavobacteriia; Flavobacteriales; Flavobacteriaceae
Description: bacterial SSU rRNA
Rfam family: Bacterial small subunit ribosomal RNA
Source: RNAcentral
GUGCGUAACGCGUAUACAAUCUGCCUUUCACAUAGGGAUAGCCCGAAGAAAUUUGGAUUAAUACCUAAUAGUAUAUAGGUGUGGCAUCACAUUUAUAUUAAAGCUGAGGCGGUGAAAGAUGAGUAUGCGUUCUAUUAGCUAGUUGGAGAGGUAACGGCUCCCCAAGGCUACGAUAGAUAGGGGUUCUGAGAGGGAUAUCCCCCACACUGGUACUGAGAUACGGACCAGACUCCUACGGGAGGCAGCAGUGAGGAAUAUUGGACAAUGGUCGGAAGACUGAUCCAGCCAUGCCGCGUGCAGGAAGACGGCCUUAUGGGUUGUAAACUGCU